Molecule: ribosomal RNA, 338 nt
Filed under: uncultured bacterium
Lineage: Bacteria
Description: partial 16S ribosomal RNA
Rfam family: Bacterial small subunit ribosomal RNA
Source: RNAcentral
CCUACGGGUGGCUGCAGUGGGGAAUAUUGCGCAAUGGGCGAAAGCCUGACGCAGCGACGCCGCGUGAGGGAUGAAGGUCGUCGGAUCGUAAACCUAUGUCAGCAGGGAAGAACGGUCACUGUGCUAAGCAGCAGUGAAUUGACGGUACAGGCAAAGGAAGGACCGGCGAACUCCGUGCCAGCAGCCGCGGUAAUACGGAGGGUGCGAGCGUUAAUCGGAAUUACUGGGCGUCAAGCGCUCGUAGGCGGUAUGUCAAGUCAAGGGGGAAAUCCCCGCGCUCCACGUUGGAACUGCCUUUGAAACUGGCAAACUGGAGUGUGUGAGCGGCUAGUGGACUU